GUCGGCAUAGCUUAGUGGUAGAGCAACUGAUUUGUAAUCAGUAGGUCAAAGGUUCAAGUCCUUUUGCCGGCA
This 72-nucleotide transfer RNA is filed under the name Blochmannia endosymbiont of Polyrhachis (Hedomyrma) turneri. RNAcentral's name for it is "tRNA-Thr (TGT) (tRNA-Thr-TGT-1-1)". It matches the Rfam family "tRNA". Rfam says of the family: Transfer RNA (tRNA) molecules are approximately 80 nucleotides in length. Their secondary structure includes four short double-helical elements and three loops (D, anti-codon, and T loops). The record is from Rfam by way of RNAcentral. Lineage: Bacteria; Pseudomonadati; Pseudomonadota; Gammaproteobacteria; Enterobacterales; Enterobacteriaceae.